This 253-nucleotide ribosomal RNA is filed under the name uncultured bacterium. Its description in RNAcentral is "partial 16S ribosomal RNA". It matches the Rfam family "Bacterial small subunit ribosomal RNA", at positions 524 to 776 of the family's 1533-position model. The record is from RNAcentral.
UACGGGGGGAGCAAGCGUUGUUCGGAUUUACUGGGCGUAAAGGGCGCGUAGGCGGUCGUGACAAGUCACUUGUGAAAUCUCCGGGCUUAACUCGGAACGGUCAAGUGAUACUGUCGGACUAGAGUACAGAAGGGGCAACUGGAAUCUCGGUGUAGCGGUGAAAUGCGUAGAUAUCGAGAGGAACACCUGCGGCGAAGGCGGGUUGCUGGGCUGAUACUGACGCUGAGGCGCGAAAGCCAGGGGAGCAAACGGG